RNAcentral lists this long non-coding RNA (4791 nucleotides) under Homo sapiens (human). RNAcentral describes it as "long non-coding RNA NONHSAT172793.1". Lineage: Eukaryota; Metazoa; Chordata; Mammalia; Primates; Hominidae. The record is from RNAcentral.
AGCGGUGGGAGCAGCGCUCGUCCGCCGUUGGGGCCCCCAGCCCGCGCGCGUGAAGCAGCUAGCCGACCAAGCCCCGGAAGGCGAGUGCCGGAGGGGGCGGGACAGCUCCUCCGGGGCCAGCGGGCACCAGGCUUGGGGGCUGAGGCCCAGCGGCCCGAGACCAACUGGGCUGACCGAGGCCGCCUCCCCGCCAGCCCUGGGGUCCACUGCCCGGGGAGCAGCUCCCUUCCCAGGUCAGACUCGGGCUUCAUCCUCUCUUGCCGCGCGCCGAGCGGUUUUCAACUCUCACUGCUAGAAUUCCUCCAACCACCCAGGAUAGCAGGACCGAGAUACAUGGCCACCCAUGACCCGGAGCGUCCACUUCCAGGGACAGGCAGUGGUGAUUGGCUUCGGUUGUCAUCUGUGCCAUCUGUCCAUGGUUCGAGAAGCUGCUGUUCACGUUUUGGGGAGGAUCAUGGUUUGAGGGCUCCCGUGGUAGAAUUUGGGGAGCUCUCAUAGGCAGAAGGCUGAGAAAAGUUGGUGCUGUGGGAAGUCAACUGGCAGCCGAUGGAGUCGGGACCCGGGAGGAAUGGAAAGGGAACCCAGAUAGGAAGCUACUGCAGUAGGCUCAGAGAGGUGAUGACGGCAGGGCUAAGACAGCGGCCUUGGGCGGUGACUGGGAAGAACGUUGAACACCGUGUUUGGGCUGAAGAAAAGAGCAAGGGAAGAGGCCCAGCUGCUCUGGAGUUUGAGGCAGGAGGAUGGCUUGAACCCAAGAGGUGGAGGCUGAAGUGAGCCAAGAUCGCGCCACUGCACUCCAGCCUGGGCGACAGGGCAAAACCCUGUCUCUAAAAAGAACUUUUUAAAAAAGCACCUGUAGAUUUAAGCACAUAAUAACUACACUUUUGUCUGUUUUAUUAUGAUAUCAAAGUUAAAUUUAUGAUGAAUGACUAACUGGACAAAACUGAGAGCAACCACCACAGAGGUGAAUAUACUGAAUGUAUAACACUCUCUAAUAAUUUUAAGAACUCCGCUCUAAUGAGCAGAUAUCACAGAAAGAGACUUUUCAGAUGAAAUACCGAUGACCAGGAAAUCUGUGAGACCAUUUUAAAAAAUUCGAAGUCAUUGAAGAAAUGCAAAGCUUCCAGGCUCCACUUUUCACUGAUGAAAUUGGCAGAGUUUGGGACAAUGAGAUGUUGCUGUCCCGGGAGUGCGGAUGGGGCUGUGUCCUGUGAUGGCGGUGGGCACUGGCACUCUUGUCCAGAAAGACAUUCACCACUGUGGUUCAAGAAGCACCUCAAAGGUCUUCACCUUGGUCCCUUGUCCACCUCUGCCCGCGGUCUCUCCUCCUUUCAGCCUCCUCUUUCCCACACAGUCCCUCCCGCCCUGGCUUGGUCCCCUUUCUUCUGACUGGGUCAGGCAUGUGGGUGACUCUUUGACUUCCAAGGCUCUGUCUACUUGGCUUUUUUCUUUCACCUGUUCUGCAGAAUAACAGCCUGAUUCGUUCCUCUUUUUGGGUCCUUCACUUCCAUACCUGGGAUUCGGGGCGUGGCCCAGAAAGACCCUGCAGUCUUGCAGUGUGGGGCUGCCAGCAUUUCAUGGCCUCCAAGCUCAGCUGGGCUGAAUGAACGCUGCCAUCCAGCGCUUGGCUCAUUUUCUGUCCCAUUUUCCUGAGUGCUUUUGCCAGACUUACACUUUUCUGAAAGCUACUCCACCCUACCCCAGACACACCCUCUCUCCUCGGAUGACCUGCCUCCUAAUUUCCUGAGAAAACUGGACAUGGCCACCUUUCCCCAGUGUCUGAGGCCCAGGUUGACCCGUGGUCAUGGUCGCUGUCACCACCCACCUGCCUGUAUGACAGAGUGAGACCCUGUCUCAUAAAAAUUAUACAGUGAAACACAUUCAUCUUGAGUACAAAUCAGUGGGUUAUGAUACAGGGCUUUGACUCCUGAGUCUGAAAAAGGCACAGAUUCCUGCUAAAUCUUGAACACUGACGCCAGUCAAAGCCUCAUCUUCAGACCUGGGAGAAGGUGACAAUCGAAAUGAAAUGCUUUCAUGAGACGCAGGGCCAGUAAUUACAAGUAUUCAAUCCCCCUAGGCCCAGGGACUAUCGCGGAAGAGGUGGGCGUGUGAGAUUGUAAGGGCCAACUUUGAGGGAUAAAAUUAGAGUUUUUUUGUAAACAUUAAUAUCAAAGGCACACUGAGGCCAGGCAAGCGUCUGGCCCCUGUGUCGGAAUAACAAUUUUCCUGGACCACUGAUCUACUCUUUAAUAGAAGAUUGUAAAAGGUUAUACAAGGCGUAUGGAAAUCUUACUUCGUGGUCAAACUGAUUAAAAUUAGAUUUGUUUAUAAGGUUUUAUUAGCUUUAACAUUAAUAAUACCCCUAAAACAUUAAUAAGAGAUCAAAGAUUUUUGUUUACCUUUUAAGUAAACUACAGGAAAAAAAAAGGAGAGAGACAGACAUUUAGUUGGUUUCCUGCUGUCUUCAUUGGAUCUUACAGUUGGGGAAACUGAGUCUCCUUCAUAUCAAUGAGUAAAGGUCUUUGGUGUUUUGGUUUUUUGUUUUUUUGGAAAUCUUUGAAUUAUCGUUUUGGCUAAAUGAAUAACUAUUUUAUAAUGAACCGUGAUCCUAUUUUGUGGCAUCAAAUGUUUUAAACUUUUGAUAUUCGACUGAUGAACUUCCCAACAUCAAGAUUUCAACUUCUGGCCGGCUACAGUGGCUCAUGUCUAUAAUCCCAGCACUUUGGGAGGCUGAGACCAGGCAGGCAGAUCAUUUGAGUUCAGGAAUUUGAGAUUAGCCUGGCUAAAAUGGUGAAACUCCACCUCUACUAAAACUACAAAAAUUAGCCAGGUGUGGUGGUGUGUGCCUGUAAUCCCAGCUACUAGAGAAUCACUUGAACCUGAGAGGCGGAGGUUGCAGUGAGCUGAGAUUGCACCACUGCUCUCCAGCCUGGGUGACAGAGCAAAACUCUGUCUAAAACAAACAAACAAAAAAAUCAAGUUGUAAAUUCAGUCUCUUUGACCUUAAGCUAACUUAAAAAAAGGCUGGCCAUGGUGGCUCACACCUGUAAUUCUAGCACUUUGGGAGGCCAAGGUGGGUGGAUCACUUGAGGUCAGAAGUUUGAGACCAGCCUGGCCAACAAGGUGAAACCCCGUCUCUACUAAGAAUACAAAAAUUAGCCGGAAAUCACUUGAACCCAGGAGGUGGUGGUUGCAGUGAGCUGAGAUUGUGCCACUGCACUCCAGCAACAGAGCGAGACUGUCUCAAAAAAAAGAAAAAUUAAUGGUGGAUGCAGUGGCUCACACCUGUAAUUCCAGCACUUUGAUAGGAUGAGGUGGGCAGAUCACUUGAGCUCAGGAGUUUGAGACCAGUCUGGACAACAUAGUGAGACCUCGUCUCUACAAAAAAAAAAAAAAAAAAAAAACCAACCAAACAAAAAACCCAACAACAAAAAACAUGAAAAUCUGGGCAGGGUGGCAUGUGCCUGUAGUGCCAGCCACUCUGGAGACUGAGAUGGGAGGAUUGCUUGAGCCCAGGAGAUCAAGGCUGCAGUGAGCUGUGCUGUGAUUGCACCACAGCACUCCAGCCUGGGCUACAGAGUUUUGGAGACCCUGUCUCCAAUAACAACAACAAACAAAAAAUAAUAUAUAUUUUUAAAAGAUAUUAGGUCCUCUGGCCGGGCGCGGUGGCUCCUGUAAUCCCAGCACUUUGGGAGGCCAAGGCGGGUGGAUCACAAGGGGCUUACAGUCAACUACAGUCCAAAAUUUGCUCCUUGGAAGACUCCUGAAUGCAGGUUUCUGAUGAUGUCAGAAAGACUGUGCUGUUGGAUUAGACAGAAAACUUCUAGGACUCUAAUUAAAAGGCUGAUGUGGUCAUAAAGAUUGCUAACCCAGUAUGAAGCAAAACAAGAGUUAAUUGCAUGGACUGAGCUAAUAGAGGACUGAACUGAUUCUUUUGUGGCUUUUUUGGUUUGAAACAUUGCUGAUUCUUUUUGUUGUUCAGUGUCAAAUUUUUUUUCUCUUGAGCUAUUUGUAGCCCUUAACAAUUGAGUAUACUCUUGUAAGCCAUUGCAAGAACCAGUGGAAUUUAAAGAUGGAUCAAAUUCCUGGGGAGUUGGAUCACUGGAUGCAUAAGGAAAUCCAAACUAAUAAGGAAAAAGUGAAAUAUUCAUUCCUUAGUUAUUGUUAUCUAUAAUAGCUAAAAUUAAAGUAAGAGUGCUGGAUUAAGCCUUGAGGCUGGACCAAGCUCAGAUGUGGGUCUGAGUUUAGAUCACUAGCCUCAAAGCCACCCACAAAAGAGGUAGUUUCUGGUGCCUCUUAGACCUGUGGUUUCCAAGAAGGUAGUCAAGGUAGGGAAGGGCAAAACGAAGUAACUACUGAAGCCAAAUGGUGUGAUGUGAAGGAAGUGUUCCCUUUUGUAGACUGGUAUCAUCAGCUUCCUUGAGGCACCUUUCCUAAUAAUGGAUUGUGAGAAUAACUAAUUUGGAAGCAGUGUCUUUUGUUUUAAAUGCUGCAGAGUGGAAGAGCAUGUCUGGUUAAUGUAGGGCCCACAGCUCACAAUUGAACAGUCGUAGAAGGAUAUAUAAUUCAGACACACAGGAGGUUAUUCCUGAGCGUGGACUGGAUAAAAGUCACUGUAAGAUCUGUUUACCCCAGAUAAGUGGAACUGCCCAACUCCACUUAUCAAUGCCACCUGGAGCACCCAAGCAUGCCCUCUUGCCCGUCCACCUUCCACCAUGGGAUGAUGCAGCAAGAAGGCCCUCACCAGAUGUGGGCCCCUUGACCUUGGACUUCCCAGCGUUGAGAACUGUA